Molecule: non-coding RNA, 99 nt
Filed under: Palpitomonas bilix
Lineage: Eukaryota
Source: RNAcentral
UCGGAAGACACAAGACCCCUUGCAGCACAUGCAGCGGCAUGGGCUAUUUGCGGAAAUCGUCGUGUCGCGUCUGCAAAGGGGAGGGUCAGAUUCGCAUUU